This is a long non-coding RNA of Cotesia glomerata, 1293 nucleotides long. RefSeq lists it as uncharacterized. The record is from RefSeq and is a predicted model, not a curated record. NCBI's taxonomy places the organism in Eukaryota, Metazoa, Arthropoda, Insecta, Hymenoptera, Braconidae. The transcript is spliced from 4 exons.
ACAUCUACGCAAUAUAUAAUAUAAAUUAAAAGUUGGAGUACCAAGAAAUGAUUUAACCAAUUAUCUUUCUAUGAGCCUUCUUAUAACUUAAAAUAAUAAUAGCUAAACCUAGGGCACUAAAAAAAUAGUUUUAGAGCAAGUUCUUGUCAAAAAAAAACUCUGACCGCCGGGGAAGAGAAUUGAUGAAUGGUCUUUGGAAUUAUUACUCACGGAAGCCCCAUAAUGACUGCAAGAUUGCUAGCUUAUAUGUUUAUGGCUACGUUUUAAAUGUAUCAAUCUCUACCCAAUUAAAAAAGGAUGAGAGACAAAUACCGUUUGAGGCAAGUAGACACGCAUAAUGUCCACGAGAGAAACGAAGCUAAAAAGCAUCGGAAGGAGCGAGGGAGAAGCAAAUGCGGAGUCUCGACUGUGGUCGUCUUGGUCUUGCUCGUCGCCGGGGUUGAGUUUCAGUUGUAUAGGCACUCGUAGCACGCAGUACCUAUCGUAGCCCCGGCAGCAUCAUCAGCAGAGACUCACUCAACUGACUAGACUCCACGAGGAAACUGAAGGAGCGAGAGGAGAGAAAAAGAGAAAGACUGAGGCGAUGCGGGCCACCCAUGGCGACCAUUCACUGCGUGGAACGGCACACGGACCCCAUCCCAUCUUGUGGCGGCGGCGACGGUGCUCAUCACCAUCCCGUCCACACACAGCAAGCAUCUCCAGCUCUAGCCUCGUCCAGACUCCAUAACGCAGCUCUCAUUACGCUGAUUUAAUCCUCUAUUACAAUUAACUCAAUGUUUAUGUCAUUUAUUGAUCGGGUCCAGCGGUUCCAGCGGCUCCAGAGAUUCUGGAGCUGGAAGCACGAAUCCAAGACGUCCACGAGAGAUGAGAUCCCCUGUUUAAUAAGACCUUCCACCAUCACCGGUUUGGUGCAGUAACAACAACAACAACAACAAUAACAACAACAGAUUCCUGGUGGUAGGUCUCUCGCACUCUCUCUCUCUUUUCUUCUCUAUCCAUGUGUGUGUGCAGCUGGAUGUAUAUAUGUGUCCGUGGCUAUAUAUAUAUAAGUAUAUAGAUCGUCUUCUCUGCUAUGCUCCCUUGAUUUAGGCUUCUCUCUUACUCUUUUCCUGCUCGAGCCGGAAGGCAUGCUAUGAGAGACAGGGACAGGGGGAGGAGACAGGAUCUAAAUGAAAAUGUCUAUAAGCAGCAGCCGCCGCGGGUUCUUACAACCCAUAUACAGUUCUGGUGCCUUCUUGCCUUCUUUUUCUACCGCCUUCUACAAACUUCUUCCCUGGUUCUUCUUCUUCUUCU